CCUUAUGCCAGGAACUGUGCGGGAUACAAAAUGUAAGAGAAGGCUGGAAUAGAGCAUCUCCUGGGGAAAUGAGAGCCAGAGAUACAGCGGUGCCCCAUGGAGACAGCCAGCUGGUGUUUGGUAGUUCCUUGUGGAAAGGCUGUACUUUGAACCACCUAAGCUAAAGAUUCUUUUGAGAACAAGGGCUAGCCUGUGGUUUCAUGGCCUUUCUUCCAUUUGGGGUUCUUGCCAAGUGGAAUUUAAAUGACCUCUUAUCAAGAUGGAUAAACCCAAGUUUCCCAGUGCUGGAAUACAGAAAAUGGAUGGACAAGAUGUCUUUUUGUCACUUCCAGCUGGAUCUACCAUGAAAGACGUCAGAGUCCAGGAAGAGAGACUGACUGGGCAACAUGUUAUUCAGAAUUAGAGAAGAUGAUGUGGUGAUGGAAGAAGAGGUCAGAGAGGGAGAUUUGAAGAUGUUGCAGUUCUGGCCUUCAAGAUGGAGUCAGGGGCUAUCUUCAAGAGAGAAGAUCUUGAUCUGUGGCCCAGGCUGCAGUACAGU
RNAcentral lists this long non-coding RNA (538 nucleotides) under Homo sapiens (human). Its description in RNAcentral is "HSALNT0341377". Lineage: Eukaryota; Metazoa; Chordata; Mammalia; Primates; Hominidae. The record is from RNAcentral.